UUAAAAAGCUCGUAGUCGGAUUUCAGUAUUAGGCCCUUCUUCCAAUACGGUUGCUAGUGGUCUUUACUUCCUUAACAGAAUCUUUCAUCUCAUUAAUUUGGGGUGUUUGGGGCCUGUUUCUUUUACUUUGAGAAAAUUAGAGUGUUCAAAGCGGGUUUUCGCCUGGAUAUUACUCUUGGAAUAAUAAUAUAGGACUUUGGUUCUUUUUUGUUGGUGACUUAGAACCGAAGUAAUGAUUGAUAGGGACAGUUGGGGUCAUCCGUACUAUGAAGCGAGAGGUGAAAUUCAUGGACCUUUGUAUGACGAACUACUGCGAAAGCAUUUGACUAGGAUGUUCCCGUUGAUCAAGAACGAAAGUUGGGGGAUCGAAGACGAUCAGAUACCGUCGUAGUCUCAACCAUAAACUAUGCCAGCUAGGGAUUGGCGGAAGAUCAUUUUACGUCUCCUUCAGCACCUUAUGAGAAAUCAAAGCAUUUGGGGUUCCGGGGGGAGUAUGGUCGCAAAGCUGAAA
This 511-nucleotide ribosomal RNA is filed under the name uncultured marine eukaryote. RNAcentral's name for it is "SSU rRNA". It matches the Rfam family "Eukaryotic small subunit ribosomal RNA", at positions 619 to 1142 of the family's 1831-position model. The record is from RNAcentral.